AAAAAAGCAGGGGCAUGUUUUUCCUGUGUAAGCAUGUCUCUCGUUAGCUUCAGGGACAUCGUUAACAUUGUUUUUGGGUGAGCCUCUGUAUUUUUGUGACUGAAGGUUCAGUAAAUGAUGGAAAAUAU
Molecule: non-coding RNA, 128 nt
Organism: Cajanus cajan (pigeon pea)
Lineage: Eukaryota; Viridiplantae; Streptophyta; Magnoliopsida; Fabales; Fabaceae
Source: Rfam